RNAcentral lists this long non-coding RNA (1199 nucleotides) under Populus tremula. RNAcentral's name for it is "long non-coding RNA (PTRE_LNC000579)". The record is from RNAcentral. Lineage: Eukaryota; Viridiplantae; Streptophyta; Magnoliopsida; Malpighiales; Salicaceae.
AAGUUCAGCGUCAAGGUUUAUUUUCAUGUCCAAUAUCCAAAAGUUUCAGAUUUUUUAGUAACUUAAUUGAUUGAUUGUUUACUUUAAUUUGUUUUUCAAAUUGGUUUCAUUUUGUUCCUCGGUCCAUUAAUGUUUUAGCUACAUCUAGCCUCCCUUUCAAUUUAUAAAUCCCUGUAUGAGCGAAACUUGAACCCAGAUACCUCAGACCAAUCCCUGUAUGAUUUUUUCAAUUAAGCUAGCCGAUCCCAAAAGAAGAAGAUGAAGAAGAAGAAGCAACGGCACUUCAAGGCAUUGUUAUUUCCAAAAAAACAGGUGUCUAACAUAGAAAAUGAUGUAUCGGGAGAGGGACAAAAUGCAAAAUCUGAUUUGCACCACAAAUAAUAUCACUAAAAAUAUUGUAGGAUCUUCAAGAAACUUGUAAAGGAUACUUCUUGAAUAUUGUCUUCAGUUUCUCUUUCUCUCUGGAGAUUUCUCUUUAGCUAGACACCAAAACUUUAAAGGAAAACAACCAAUCAAGAAACUACAAACCCUACAAAGAAUGACAAGACCCUGUAUCUGUGAAGAUGAUAGAAACAGCGUCAGGAAACCAAGACGCAUUUAAUUUGUUGCAUCUUCUAUCUAGUUCUCUUCCAUCAGAUUUCCUCCAACUGUAACUAUAUUUUGUUUGUUUUGAAGGGAUGAUUUUGAUGUAUUGAGAAGUACUCCGUGGAGUUCCUUUCGAAGCUAAUCCAGAUUGUUGUGUUGCUUCGACGGGAAGGCGAAUUCUUGAGGCCCACUGUCCUACUUGGAAAAACAAUGCCGCGUAGCAUUCAUUCCUUUUCUAGGUCAACUGUACUCUGCAAUCAGAAAUUAAACAGAUAUCUCAUUGUAAUAAUUCGAGUUGGUGUUCUCUUCUUGCAUUCAUCGAAACCUGGACAAGGUUGUCAAUUGCAAAUGUUUGAUGUCGUGCACAAAAUUACAAUGGAAAGAGUCGUAGCAGAUUGGUACAGUAGAAAGAGAAAGAAUCCUAUUAGAAGAAGAAGCUGAGAUCGAUGGUGGCAAGUAGAGAUGGUGGACCUGCAAGAUUUACUUAAAUCUUUAGUAACCCUAACUUGUAAGUUCAAAGUACUGUAAUUAACGAGUUUUUAUAUGAGAAAAUAAUUUUUCAAGGGUACCGAAGUAGACAUCAAUUGGACAUUUUUUUCUUCUGGUGUUGGGUG